GACGGAGGAUGCAAGUGUUAUCCGGAAUCACUGGGCGUAAAGCGUCUGUAGGUGGUUUAAUAAGUCAACUGUUAAAUCUUGAGGCUCAACCUCAAAAUCGCAGUCGAAACUAUUAGGCUAGAGUAUAGUAGGGGUAAAGGGAAUUUCCAGUGGAGCGGUGAAAUGCGUAGAGAUUGGAAAGAACACCGAUGGCGAAGGCACUUUACUGGGCUAUUACUAACACUCAGAG
Molecule: ribosomal RNA, 229 nt
Filed under: uncultured bacterium
Lineage: Bacteria
Description: partial 16S ribosomal RNA
Rfam family: Bacterial small subunit ribosomal RNA
Source: RNAcentral